Molecule: ribosomal RNA, 440 nt
Filed under: uncultured bacterium
Lineage: Bacteria
Description: partial 16S ribosomal RNA
Rfam family: Bacterial small subunit ribosomal RNA
Source: RNAcentral
CCUACGGGAGGCAGCAGUGGGGAAUAUUGCACAAUGGGGGAAACCCUGAUGCAGCGACGCCGCGUGAAGGAAGAAGUAUUUCGGUAUGUAAACUUCUAUCAGCAGGGAAGAAAAUGACGGUACCUGAGUAAGAAGCCCCGGCUAACUACGUGCCAGCAGCCGCGGUAAUACGUAGGGGGCAAGCGUUAUCCGGAUUUACUGGGUGUAAAGGGAGCGUAGACGGCAGUGCAAGUCUGGAGUGAAAGGCGGGGGCUCAACCCCCGGACUGCUCUGGAAACUGUACGGCUGGAGUGCAGGAGAGGUAAGUGGAAUUCCUAGUGUAGCGGUGAAAUGCGUAGAUAUUAGGAGGAACACCAGUGGCGAAGGCGGCUUACUGGACUGUAACUGACGUUGAGGCUCGAAAGCGUGGGGAGCAAACAGGAUUAGAUACCCGAGUAGUC